GGGAGCUGCAGCCGCUCCCGCUCCGCUCACACCGCUUUCCUCCCUCAGAACCGCAGGCCUCUCACCACCGGUGGUUUAUUCUCCCCAGAGCGCCGUGAUAGUUUUAGGGCGUUCUGACAAAGAUUGCACUGGAAGUGGUUUUCGUGGAAUAUAAAAAGAAACCGCUCCUCGGGAAACGCCAGAAUUGUGUAGCUGAUGGAUUAAUUUCCUCUACAGCUAACACGGCUACAGGAAGGAUUUGGCUCUGCACGUGCCUGCUGCUGGGCUGCUGAUACCACAGUGACUGCAUAGGGUGCAUCCAGACAGAUAGCCACCACCACCACCUCACUUGUAUUUAAAAAUUACAUUUCCAUUGAUUCCUGUAGUAAUAAUAACUACAACCUCAUAAUACAAAUUAUAUCUUAGAAAUUGGGAAAUCCUUGCUCUGUAGACAGUGUUGAUAGAAGAUUGCAAGGAUUCAUCAUUCAACCUAUAUUAAACCUACACAGCGCUGAUAUUUUCUUUUUUUUAAAAAUCAAACAACACAGUGCUUUUAAGAGUAGCAGUCUGUUUCUGUUCACCAAACAAAGGUCAGUAACUCCCAGAUCUACCCUUGGCACUAUCAGUGAUUUCGCUGUCUGUCCGUAUCAACUAUUUUUGUCUGAUGCUGGUCAUAUUGACCCUGGUGUCAAUGAACCAGCCCCAGCUGAGUGAAGCACAGAGCAGAACAAAACCUCCAGCUGCUCCCACCCAGCAGCUCUGGCUGCAGACUGAUGAUGUUCCCUGAAAAUCAGGAUUACCUGGCUAAGAAGCUGGCUUGGGGUAAUUGCAAACAAGCCAAUACUCAGAGGCUGGUGCUGUCUCCUGCUUGUAAGGAGGACGACAAGGGGGGAUUAAGUAUCAGUAGAAGCUGUGGUGGCAUGGUGGGACCUUGCACUGUCAGAGUAAUUGUCUGCUGUAUUGCCAACACCUGCAACCCCCGGCAAUCAUGCAAGAGCCUGCUUCUUGCUAGGAAGUUUACAAGUUAAUUAGAAAAGACAACAAGAGGCAUAAAAGAACCUUACAAUUUACUUAGUAGAGCUUAUGCCUAUCCCCUUUCCAAAUUUAUUGGUGAGUUCAGAGCAUUUCAGAGAUUGUCAGCUACUUUUGGAGAAGAGAAGGCUCUGGGGAGACCUGAUAGCAGCAGCUUUUCAGUAUCCAAAGAGGGGCUGUAAGAAGGGGAGAGACUCUUUAGCAGGGUCUGUGGUGAUAGCACCAGGGAAAUGGCGUCAAGCUAAAAGAGGGGAGACUGAAUGGACUGAAUAUAAUGAAUUUUUUUUUUACAAUAAGGGUAGUGAAGCACUGAGGUAGUGGAUACCCUUGUCUUUGAGACACCCAAGGUCAGGUUGGAUGGGGCUCUGAGCGCCCAGAUCUAACUGUAGGUGUUCCUGUUCACUGUAGGGGAGUUGGAUCAGAUGACCUUAAAAGGUCCCUUCUCAAAAGAUUCAAUGAUUUUACUUCAGCAUGUUCCUCCAGAAUGUGAUUUGGAUGUUUGGAUGCUUGGUGGCCAGCUUCUCUUCUGACUAUCCAAGGAACUCAGUUGAGAUGAAGUGUAGCUCUGGCAUCUCAAUCUACAUGUACACACACAGAAGAAAAAAAAAAAAAAACACAUGAAUUUUGCCCUAAAUCUCAGGUGUGGCAGUCAGAAAAACCAGCUUUGCUGCCAGCUCAUUUUUUCAGGAAGAGAUUCUGUGCUCGGGAGUGGUGGAGGGUGAUGUGCUUACUUGUUUAUUUGUUUUAUUUUUAAACUCACUCGUGUUUUCUGAAUGUUGCCUGUAAUGCUAUGCUACUGGGAGGGAACUGAGUGCCUUUCAUUCCAUGAGAUUUUCAGGUCCGUGAUUAUUUGCUGGUCUCCAGAGAGCAUUUAUUGCAUGUGAUUAUGAUAGGAAAUCCACUCGUGCUACAAAUAUAUUGCUGAUAAAAUAAUUGUGUUCCAUUUUUAAUUUCAUAACAUAUUGGAGGUGUUCAAGGCCAGGUUUAAUGGGGCCCUUGGGCAGCCUGAUCUAGCGCGUAAUUUAGUUGUUGGCAACCCUGCCCACAGCAGGGUCUGGAACUGGAACCGGGUGAUCUUUGAUGUCCCUUCCAAACCAAGCCAUUCUAUGAUCCUAUGAUAUCGCAAAUUUUCACAGGGUUUCUCCAAAUUCCAGUGUUCACUUGCACUGUGGACCAUUGUCUAAGAAUGGCUGCCCCAUGCCUGGGCUCCCCACAUCUCCUGUCCCCUCUCUGGCAAAGCCCUUCUGCCUGGUUGACACUGGGCAGAGGCACCGAGGGCACAAAGCACUCCCAUUCCACCUGCCCUUGCCAGGUUAUUUGGUAGCCACUGGAGGUUCCAACUCUUCUGCCUUCCGCCAUCUGCUUCAUGCAGGCUUUUCUCAUGCUAAUUGCUAACCUAGCUAUUUGCUCGUGACAAAUUAUGUUUCUCCCUGGAGAAAUUAAGUGCUACCAGUCUGAGGUUCCUUCAGAGAGAAACCUGCGCCCUGGCUCAACAGAAAUAAUUGCCUGUUUCCCCACAUGAUGACAAGGAGAUGAGCAAUCUCUGCAGCCUGGCUGUAUCUUCUGUUCCUAACAGCUGGAUUAGAAGCUUUGAGCUCCCAAGCUCUGGAAUAGUUUCUGUCUCUCAGAGAAUACAAAUAAUUGCUGUGAACAUACCACGCUAUCACAGUUGUCAUAUAUUUCUUGGUUGAGUUAUCAGCAAUAACUUAUCUGUUAUCCAUGGUUUAUUGUUUUGGCACCUCUGGGAAACAUCUAUGAAGCACAAUGAAUAUAAAUCAUGUUGCAUUCUGACAGUAUCUAAAGAUUUAUGGAGAAGUUAAGAGAAAACAGAACCACUUCAUAUGUGGAAAGGAUAGGAAAAUUAUUGAUUUCAAAAAAUGCUUAGACUGGUUUCUGUCAGGUAAAAUAAUGUGAGCAUAAUUUUAACUUCAGGUCCAUGGAAUAGUGCCAGUAUCCUGAAAAAAUUAAGGGUUUUUUAAGAAAAGAUUCACUGAAAUCACCGUCGGUAGUGAGGAAUAAUUUUAAUUUCCCAAGUCACGGUUAAACAAAUAGUGAAAGCUUUUGAAAAUCCUGCCUGCAGUUCAUGUUGUUUCAGAUAUGUUAACAGUCGGGACGGAGACUUUGUGUUCAAGGAAAUAUUUUUGGUAUCAGAACAGCAUGAACUGCUAAAACACAGGAUGCCUGAUUACAUCUAUGAAUCUCUUUGACACACAGAACCCAGAGCUGUAAUACCACAUACUGGAGUUUGAGUCUGUCUUGUAAAGACACUCGGUAUUUCUUCCUAGCUCCUGUAAAUAUGCCCCCAUCAAGGUGAUUCCCAGGAUAUGGAAGUGAGUGAUCUCAAUCCUUACAAACUCUAUCCAACCCUCCUGAAUCCUAGGUAAAAUCUUCAGCUACAAAUCAGAUGGAAAAUACCAUGUGGCAGAAGUAGCCACAUCCGUUGCCCCAGGACACGGAGGACAGCUCCUGCCCUUGGCUGCCUGCUCAGCUAACAGCACUGGUCUUGUGACAUCCCGCUCAGAUGGCAGCACAUAUCCGUGUGUUUAAAAAAAUAUGUUAUCUUUACAGCAUUGCUCCAGUAAGAUGACACCCAGAAUACCAGGUACUGAAGAUAAGCAACAGAAGAACUAAAGAUUUGGAGCUGAAUGUGCAUAGAAGUACAUGCAUUCAAGUCCUGGGAUAACAACUUUUCCAAACCUCAUGAGAGCAGCGGUUUGGAGACACAGGACAAAUGCUCUUCCAAAGAGGUGAUGAUCGAUUUUUUGCACAUAAUGUACUGUGCAGUCAGAUCUCUGAACAUCAGUGGCAGGAGGUGCAAAAUCUUUCAUUGCUUUAAUGAGGCAGUCUUAUGAAUAAGGGCAGUCUUAAGCAUAAAACAUCACUUUUUCUACUUCAUGGCAGUUCUGUUUACAAGAUUGUUCCAAUUUUCCCUCCCACUAUUUUACAGAAUUUCAUUUUUAUUUUAUUUUAAAGAAAAAAAGUGUAUUGUAGGAGCUAAUAUUAUUAAUUAUAUUUCCUUACAAUUUAGGAGGUCUGUUUAACAUAUGUCAUUAAAAUAAUGACGCUCAACAAAACAUAUAAUGGUCUUUGUUUUCUGGCACUUUGCAAAUCUGUAUGCAAGUGAAACAAGAAGAUCUUGGAAUAAUUAACUCUUCUUGGGGUCUGAAGUAAAAGUAGCAAACUUCAAGUUAAGGUGGGUCAAGAAAAGAUAGAGAAAGGCUGAGAACACAAUAAUUAAUCUGGGUUAAAUUUAGUUAUUUUAAUGAAUUAGACAAUUUGAAAGAAAGAGUGAAGAGCUGGAGAUUUUCAAAGAAAAAAGACGGUAAUGACAUUAGUCCCAGUGGAGUGACAGGAGAGUUUAACAUUUGUGGAAGAGAGAACUUACAAGGAACAAGUUUUCUGUUGUCUAUAACACAGAUAGAAUUAUGAAUUUUAAUUUCAAGUCACCUUUUGAAGGGGAACAGCACUGAGAGCUCAUAGUCACAUUGUCUGUCUGAUGAAAAACAUUCUCCUACUGGUAACCUGAUUCUUGUGCGCAUUAGUGAAGGUGUGUUCACCCUGGUAUAUACAGUUCACUGAGUUUUGUCCUCAUAGUGCCAGCCACUAUUUGAUAGUUGGAUGGAAAGCAUUGGAUUCAGAAAAAAACCCAGUGAACAGCAGAUGGAGUUAUCCAGCUCUGUUGGCAAGGGGCACUGACAAGAUGGCUGCAGAGUGGUGUUCGCUGGUUUUAGCACUUUCAGAUGUUGUUUGGCAUAUAAAAAUCUAUCAUCUUUUCCUACAGAUCUUGCAUUUCCUAUAUCAUCUGACUGCUAGGACUGUAACAAUACAAGGAAAAAAAAGAAAAGAAGAUAUUUAGUGUUGAAUUUUGAAGAUAAAACCAGAAACUUUAGGUUCUUCUGCCUAGCAGAGGCACAAUGAAUUGUGAUUCCAUUUUUAUUCAGACUUCUUCAGCCUCUGCCAUAGUUGCAUGGAACUGUGGGAGCUUUCUGACUUGCUUUGCAGCUUACAGUGCACUUGCAGACUUUCUCCCCAUGUGCCAUUAGCAUUGUUAUCAAUAGAGGCAGCACAGCUUAGAACUUGCUCAAAGAGGCUGCCAUGCUGGUGGUCAUUAAAGCUCAGAAAGAUGCUUUAGGUGUGAUCCAGUGGGGAAAAACCGCUUAUUGCUCCUUUCUGACCUCCAAAGCCUCUUUGCUGUCUACAUCAGAGCAGUGGUUUUGCCUACCAAAUUCCUUCCAUAAUUUUUAAUUACUUAUGCCUUUACUACAUGGAUUUUUAAGUAAAUUACUUUAAACUGUGCUUUCAAUUCAUUCUAGACCAUCAGCUGAACUAAAAAGAUGAUGGCUUUUGAGAUGCCAUGAGGCUGCUAGAGCUGCCCUCUAGAGAUGUCCAUCUCCUUGUGUGGCCAUAGAGAAGAGUACUUGGAUGUCUCAGUACAAGCCCAAGCAAAGCUGGAUGGCUCUGGCUUAGCAUUAAAGUUGGAGAGGGAGAAAGGAUGGAAGUUGGGUAUUUUUUUAACUUCUUUUACAACAAAACUUCUCCUUCGAGACUCUUGAUUAUGCAGACAGCAUUGUCCUUCCAUAAUUAAAAUAAUUAAUUUCAAAUGGCCACGAAGGUACAACAGAUAGGCAACUAUUCUUUCACUGUCUUUCGCAACGUUGGACUCCCUUCUGGAAAAAAACAAGUGAGUAGGGAGGAAGGGAUGAAAUUUAAGUGGAAUAGGGAUUCUUAAGGCUUUUUAUGUUCAUUGUAACUUGAAUCUCUUCAGAUUAAAUAAAAUAACUAGUAAGGCUGCAAUCUGCCAUUGAAUCUGUUUGCAUAUCACCCUGAAAACUUGCAGCCUUUUCUCAGGCUGUGAAUCAGAUUGCAAAAGCUGAUGUUCAUGUAACUUGAUGUUCUCCAAGCCAAAUGCCAGCCGUGGGUCUGCCUGCCUCAGCUUGCUCUGCUGGAGGGGAUAUUCAUAGCACUGACCCCAGGAGGGACUUGGACAGGAGAUACACCCUGCAGCUGGGGUAUGGCAAUCAGAGAACUUCAUGGCAGGAAAUCCAGUGUUGAUGCCUUAGCCUUCUGAAAGGAGAGAAUGAUUGGGAAAUUCUGGAAUAUCAGGUUUUUCUCUGUGUCUUGCAUUUCCCUCAACUCACGGAAAUGAUCAGAAAGUGGCACAGCAGUGGCUUACCUUCUGGAAUGGGGAGAUUUGUGUCUUCUUGCCCAGAAUCUCACACCCUGGGUGGAGGAAGAGAAGAAAACCCUUCCCAUCUGCACUGAGAGCAUGGGAGCCAAGUUUCUGCCUGGAACGAUCUGAGGGGCUGAUGUACAGUUAUCCAGAAAUACAGCAUUUCAUCAUUUACUUCAAAGGACUACCACGGAAAGAGAGCAAAAGCAAGUAUUUUCUUUGCAUUUUUUUUUCUGUGAUGAGAACUCCCUAUCUAGGUUGCACAUAUGUGUGCUGCAGCCAAUUCCACAAAUAUUUCAGGUUAGAUCUCUCUAGGACCGAAGAUAGGAUGUUUUCAUGUAGCAUCUGUGCAGCAUAAAAUUGCUCCCUCUAGCUAAUAACCAGCACCCAAACAUGCCCAACUAUAAGGUGUGUUUGCUCAACUUGAUGCUCUGCUGUCCUUGGACCCAGUAAGCACUAAACUCUGGUCAUUUUUAGAGUAUCCAUGACAUAUUUUCACAGUUUCCAUCAUCUUUCAGGUAAGCCAGGUAAUGACUUUCCAAAGAAAAUCAUCAUGUACAUGGCACAGCUUUGCAAAGGGCUUCAUUCUGCUAGAGAGAAGAGCUACUGCCCUCGCUACUCUUCCUCCACCAUGUUCCCACAGUUCUCAUGCUUAUUUUAAACUUUCUUUCCCCUCUUUCCCACGUUCUUGUUUCUUUUUGAUAACAUUCAUUUAAUUAUAAAAAAUAUAAAGGGGUCAAAGGGUUGCUUUUGGAAUAAUGGAUGCCUAGGACAGCUGGGGCUUACUCAAGAUGGCAAGUCUUCUCAAGGAUACAGCUCCAAGUAUUCUGUGAGUGCAGAGUAAUAUUACAUCUUCUGCAACUUUGACAUUAACUUCCUGUGAAAUUCUGGUCUGCAAGUACGUGCUCUGCAGCAGUAUGACUGGCACUCCUGCUCCACAUUCAGUGUAUGUCCUUGCAGUUUUUAACAUCAGUGUUGAAGUUAUGUCCAGGAGCUGACUGCAGAGGAAAGCUUAGAACACACAAAUUUAUUUUCACUUUUGCCAACACCACUGAGCCCACAGGGAGCUCAUGUGUUACUGUGCCUUAAGUAAGCUGCUAGCCCAGAAUCACCUGUGAAAGCACUGCACGCAAGCAGUAAGUUGACCAUUACUGCCAACUUACUAACACAAGAAAUGUAACAAGUGUUGUAGAAAUAGAUUUCUAUCAGUCAGAAGUGCUUAAACUCAAUUUCUUUCACGGAUUAGUCUUUGAAUUGUUUGAAACACAGCAAGUUCCUCACACUGCUUGUGGGGAAGAGUAAGCAGCAAGGCUGGCUCAAGCAAGGCCUUGUCUCCAACAAGCGGCAGAUUCACGAACCAGACAGAUUCCCAGCUUUGGUCUCUGCCCGAUGCUUUGCCAUUUUCUCAUCCUUUGCUUUCUCAUUCUUGUUCUCUGUUUGUGUAAAAGGUGCAAUCAGAAAAUAAAGAGAUUACACUUCA
Gallus gallus (chicken) is the source of this 7661-nucleotide long non-coding RNA. RefSeq lists it as uncharacterized. The transcript has 4 exons. NCBI's taxonomy places the organism in Eukaryota, Metazoa, Chordata, Aves, Galliformes, Phasianidae. The record is from RefSeq and is a predicted model, not a curated record.